CCAGACUCCUACGGGAGGCAGCAGUGAGGAAUAUUGGUCAAUGGUCGGGAGACUGAACCAGCCAAGCCGCGUGAGGGAGGAAGGUACAGAGUAUCGUAAACCUCUUUUGUCAGGGAACAAAGGCGGGGACUAGUCCCCGGAUGAGGGUACCUGAAGAAAAAGCAUCGGCUAACUCCGUGCCAGCAGCCGCGGUAAUACGGAGGAUGCGAGCGUUAUCCGGAUUUAUUGGGUUUAAAGGGUGCGUAGGCGGGAUGCCAAGUCAGCGGUAAAAAUGCGGUGCUCAACGCCGUCGAGCCGUUGAAACUGGCGUUCUUGAGUGGGCGAGAAGUAUGCGGAAUGCGUGGUGUAGCGGUGAAAUGCAUAGAUAUCACGCAGAACUCCGAUUGCGAAGGCAGCAUACCGGCGCUCAACUGACGCUGAGGCAAGAAAGCGUGGGGAUCGAACAGGAUUAGAUACCCCAGUA
Molecule: ribosomal RNA, 463 nt
Filed under: uncultured bacterium
Lineage: Bacteria
Description: bacterial SSU rRNA
Rfam family: Bacterial small subunit ribosomal RNA
Source: RNAcentral